UACGUAGGCAGCAAGCGUUGUUCGGAGUUACUGGGCGUAAAGGGUGUGUAGGCGGUUCUUUAAGUUUGGUGUGAAAUCUCCCGGCUCAACUGGGAGGGUGCGCCGAAUACUGAGGGACUAGAGUACGGGAGAGGAAAGUGGAAUUCCUGGUGUAGCGGUGAAAUGCGUAGAUAUCAGGAGGAAUACCGGUGGUGCAGACGGCUCUCUGGACCGUAACUGACACUGAGACACGAAAGCGUGGGUAGCAAACAGG
RNAcentral lists this ribosomal RNA (253 nucleotides) under uncultured bacterium. RNAcentral's name for it is "partial 16S ribosomal RNA". It matches the Rfam family "Bacterial small subunit ribosomal RNA", at positions 524 to 776 of the family's 1533-position model. The record is from RNAcentral.